This 497-nucleotide ribosomal RNA is filed under the name uncultured bacterium. Its description in RNAcentral is "partial 16S ribosomal RNA". It matches the Rfam family "Bacterial small subunit ribosomal RNA", at positions 28 to 507 of the family's 1533-position model. The record is from RNAcentral.
GAUGAACGCUGGCGGCGUGCCUAAUACAUGCAAGUCGAGCGAACAGAUAAGGAGCUUGCUCCUUUGACGUUAGCGGCGGACGGGUGAGUUACACGUGGAUAACCUACCUAUAAGACUGGGAUAACUUCGGGAAACCGGAGCUAAUACCGGAUAACAUAUUGAACCGCAUGGUUCAAUAGUGAAAGGCGGCUUUGCUGUCACUUAUAGAUGGAUCCGCGCCGUAUUAGCUAGUUGGUAAGGUAACGGCUUACCAAGGCAACGAUACGUAGCCGACCUGAGAGGGUGAUCGGCCACACUGGAACUGAGACACGGUCCAGACUCCUACGGGAGGCAGCAGUAGGGAAUCGUCCGCAAUGGGCGAAAGCCUGACGGAGCAACGCCGCGUGAGUGAUGAAGGUCUUCGGAUCGUAAAACUCUGUUAUCAGGGAAGAACAAAUGUGUAAGUAACUGUGCACAUCUUGACGGUACCUGAUCAGAAAGCCACGGCUAACUACGUG